Molecule: ribosomal RNA, 823 nt
Filed under: uncultured bacterium
Lineage: Bacteria
Description: bacterial SSU rRNA
Rfam family: Bacterial small subunit ribosomal RNA
Source: RNAcentral
CGCCUAAUACAUGCAAGUCGAACGAAGUAGCAAUACUUAGUGGCAGACGGGUGAGUAACAUGUGGGUAUCUUCCCUUUGGUGAGGAAUAACACGAGGAAACUUGUGCUAAUACCUCAUAAGUCUUUACGGAGAAAGCUUUAUGCGCCAAUGGAUGAGCCUGCACUUGAUUAGUUUGUUGGUGGGGUAAUGGCCUACCAAGACUAUGAUCAAUAGCUGAUUUGAGAGGAUGAUCAGCCACAUUGGGACUGAGACACGGCCCAAACUCCUACGGGAGGCAGCAGUAGGGAAUCUUGCACAAUGGAGGAAACUCUGAUGCAGCGAUGCCGCGUGAGUGAAGAAGGCCUUUGGGUUGUAAAGCUCUUUCGUCGGGGAAGAAAAUGACUGUACCCGAAUAAGAAGGUCCGGCUAACUUCGUGCCAGCAGCCGCGGUAAUACGAAGGGACCUAGCGUAGUUCGGAAUUACUGGGCUUAAAGAGUUCGUAGGUGGUUAAAAAAGUUGGUGGUGAAAGCCCAGAGCUUAACUCUGGAACGGCCAUCAAAACUUUUUAGCUAGAGUUUGAUAGAGGAAAGCAGAAUUUCUAGUGUAGAGGUGAAAUUCGUAGAUAUUAGAAAGAAUACCAAUUGCGAAGGCAGCUUUCUGGAUCAUUACUGACACUGAGGAACGAAAGCAUGGGUAGCGAAGAGGAUUAGAUACCCUCGUAGUCCAUGCCGUAAACGAUGUGUGUUAGAUGUUGGAAAUUUAUUUUCAGUAUCGCAGCGAAAGCAAUAAACACACCGCCUGGGGAGUACGACCGCAAGGUUAAAACUCAAAUGAAUUGACGG